RNAcentral lists this ribosomal RNA (403 nucleotides) under uncultured Eubacteriales bacterium. RNAcentral describes it as "bacterial SSU rRNA". It matches the Rfam family "Bacterial small subunit ribosomal RNA", at positions 355 to 774 of the family's 1533-position model. The record is from RNAcentral. Lineage: Bacteria; Bacillati; Bacillota; Clostridia; Eubacteriales.
UGGGGAAUAUUGCACGAUGGGGGAAACCCUGAUGCAGCAACGCCGCGUGAGUGAAGAAGGUUUUCGGAUUGUAAAGCUCUGUUAGCAGGGAAGAGGAAGGACGGUACCUGCAGAGGAAGCCACGGCUAACUACGUGCCAGCAGCCGCGGUAAUACGUAGGUGGCAAGCGUUGUUCGGAAUAACUGGGCGUAAAGGACGCGUAGGCGGUUGAAUAAGUUAUAUGUUAAAUAUAUAGGCUUAACCUGUAGAGAGCAUAUAAAACUGUUUAACUAGAGUGCAGGAGAGGUAAGUGGAAUUCCUAGUGUAGCGGUGAAAUGCGUAGAGAUUAGGAAGAACACCAGUGGCGAAGGCGACUUACUGGACUGUAACUGACGUUGAGGCAUGAGAGCAUGGGGAGCAAACA